Molecule: transfer RNA, 71 nt
Filed under: candidate division TA06 bacterium DG_26
Lineage: Bacteria
Description: tRNA-Gln
Rfam family: tRNA
About the family: Transfer RNA (tRNA) molecules are approximately 80 nucleotides in length. Their secondary structure includes four short double-helical elements and three loops (D, anti-codon, and T loops). Further hydrogen bonds mediate the characteristic L-shaped molecular structure. tRNAs have two regions of fundamental functional importance: the anti-codon, which is responsible for specific mRNA codon recognition, and the 3' end, to which the tRNAs corresponding amino acid is attached (by aminoacyl-tRNA synthetases). tRNAs cope with the degeneracy of the genetic code in two manners: having more than one tRNA (with a specific anti-codon) for a particular amino acid; and 'wobble' base-pairing, i.e. permitting non-standard base-pairing at the 3rd anti-codon position.
Source: RNAcentral
UGGGGCGUCGGCAAGUGGCAAGCCACAGGAUUUUGGAUCCUGUACCGUAGGUUCGAAUCCUACCGCCCCAG